Molecule: ribosomal RNA, 460 nt
Filed under: uncultured bacterium
Lineage: Bacteria
Description: partial 16S ribosomal RNA
Rfam family: Bacterial small subunit ribosomal RNA
Source: RNAcentral
CCUACGGGAGGCAGCAGUGAGGAAUAUUGGUCAAUGGGCGUACGCCUGAACCAGCCAAGUCGCGUGAGGGAUGAAGGUUCUAUGGAUCGUAAACCUCUUUUAUAAGGGAAUAAAGUGUGGGACGUGUACUGUUUUGUAUGUACCUUAUGAAUAAGGAUCGGCUAACUCCGUGCCAGCAGCCGCGGUAAUACGGAGGAUCCGAGCGUUAUCCGGAUUUAUUGGGUUUAAAGGGUGCGUAGGCGGCCUUUUAAGUUAGCGGUGAAAGUCUGUGGCUCAACCAUAGAAUUGCCGUUGAAACUGGGAGGCUUGAGUAUGUUUGAGGCAGGCGGAAUGCGUGGUGUAGCGGUGAAAUGCUUAGAUAUCACGCAGAACCCCGAUUGCGAAGGCAGCCUGCCAAGCCAUGACUGACGCUGAUGCACGAAAGCGUGGGGAUCAAACAGGAUUAGAUACCCGGGUAGUC